UAGAAGUUGACCUUCGUCCAACUCCUGCAAUAAUCCAUGCACCUGGCCUUCAUGAUUUCCCAAGCAAUACCAAAGUUAAAGCCGAUAAUCAGGCAACUUGGUACAAACAGUUUGCGAGGAACAUGGGAGGCCUGGUUGCAGAUAUGCCUUAUAAAAAUAUACAAUGGCCACCUCCUCAGCAGAAUUAAU
Long non-coding RNA from Eurytemora carolleeae, 189 nucleotides. RefSeq lists it as uncharacterized. The record is from RefSeq and is a predicted model, not a curated record. The transcript has 2 exons. NCBI's taxonomy places the organism in Eukaryota, Metazoa, Arthropoda, Copepoda, Calanoida, Temoridae.